This 583-nucleotide unclassified non-coding RNA is filed under the name Hevea brasiliensis (rubber tree). Lineage: Eukaryota; Viridiplantae; Streptophyta; Magnoliopsida; Malpighiales; Euphorbiaceae. The record is from RNAcentral.
GAGAACAAUCAACUCUUCAUUCUUUUAUGGUGACAACAAGCUUGAAAUCAAGCACUUUAUGCUUUCCUUUGCGUCUAUAAAAACAUCUGUACAAAUAAAAUGAAAUGCAUUAACAGCUGAAAGGCUCUUCAAAUCACUAGGAAUACGCUGAUUUUCUUCAAUGUCCAUUGAGAUUUUCACGUUUUGAGUAGCCUCAUCAGUUUCUUGCUCUAGAAUAGGCUCUUCAAUAGGUGUAUGUUCAAUACUCAAAUUUUCAGAUUCUUCAAUUUUAGAAUCGUCAAGUUGUUCUUUCUCAAUUUCAUCUUCAACCUCAAGUUGCCUUCCCAAUUCAAGCUUCUCUUGUUGUUGACUUGCUUUUUCAACACUUUUUGCCUUCAUAUUUUCAGUACUUUUACUAUAUCCAACUGUUCUCUCAAUUGGAACAAAUGUGCUUCUUUCCAUGCUUCAAAUUCUUCAAGUUCGUUAUGCUUAUCUUGUUGAUGGGCUUGUUGAUCAUGAUACCCAUUCUUACAUUCUUCAAGUGCUUUCUCCCUAUAUUGUAAAAUUAUUUGUAUAUCCUGAUACUCAUUAAAUAAACCACAAG